AACAUCUCAUUCAUUCUAUUAAAAUUGAAGCUAUUCAAAAUGACUAAGUUUUCUGUCAUACCAAUUCUUGUCUUUUUUAUUAUUUUUUCAGUUGUAACCAUGACAUGUCAAGCAGACAAAUCAUGUACCAUAACUCAACCUACUGGUAUCCCUUAUGAGUGUGAUUAUUGGUGCUCUGAUCAACCUUAUCAUGGUGACGGAAGAUGUGGAGGAGACCCUGCUAAACCCAUAUGUGUUUGCACAUAUCCAUGUUAAGUUUAUAAAAAAUAUAGCACAAUGCUCAAAAAUUAAAUGUUAAAUGUAAGAGCAUAUCAAAAUAAAUCUAAUAAAAUUAUGCAUUGAUAUUU
This is a long non-coding RNA of Vicia villosa (hairy vetch), 347 nucleotides long. RefSeq lists it as uncharacterized. The record is from RefSeq and is a predicted model, not a curated record. The transcript has 2 exons. Lineage: Eukaryota; Viridiplantae; Streptophyta; Magnoliopsida; Fabales; Fabaceae.